UGGGGAAUAUUGGACAAUGGGCGAAAGCCUGAUCCAGCCAUGCCGCGUGGAUGAUGAAGGCCCUAGGGUUGUAAAGUCCUUUCGACGGGGAAGAUAAUGACGGUACCCGUAGAAGAAGCCCCGGCUAACUUCGUGCCAGCAGCCGCGGUAAUACGAAGGGGGCUAGCGUUGCUCGGAAUCACUGGGCGUAAAGCGCACGUAGGCGGAUUUCUAAGUCAGGGGUGAAAUCCCGGAGCUCAACUCCGGAACUGCCCUUGAUACUGGGAAUCUCGAGUUCGGGAGAGGUGAGUGGAACUGCGAGUGUAGAGGUGAAAUUCGUAGAUAUUCGCAAGAACACCAGUGGCGAAGGCGGCUCACUGGCCCGAUACUGACGCUGAGGUGCGAAAGCGUGGGGAGCAAACA
Molecule: ribosomal RNA, 402 nt
Filed under: uncultured prokaryote
Also listed under: 1 other name
Description: bacterial SSU rRNA
Rfam family: Bacterial small subunit ribosomal RNA
Source: RNAcentral